GUGGUGACCAACUGCCCCACUGAGCACUUGUGCAUUUAACAUUCAGUUUCGUUGCUGAGCUCUCCGUUUGGCCGGUGUCAGUGCCAGUUUCCAUCGGUGACUCCUGGGAAAUAUAAAUACAGUUUGGCAACAUUACUGCUCGCCUCAGCUGGUUCUUCACAAUCCUGGAUAAAAG
Molecule: long non-coding RNA, 175 nt
Organism: Xenopus tropicalis (tropical clawed frog)
Lineage: Eukaryota; Metazoa; Chordata; Amphibia; Anura; Pipidae
Exons: 3
Source: RefSeq, a predicted model, not a curated record